GACGAACGCUGGCGGCGUGCUUAACACAUGCAAGUCGAGCGGUAAGGCCCUUUCGGGGGUACGACGAGCGGCGAACGGGUGAGUAACACGUGGGUGACCUGCCCUCAGCUCUGGGAUAAGCCUGGGAAACUGGGUCUAAUACUGGAUAUGACUCCACGGUGCAUGUCGUGGGGUGGAAAGCCUUGUGCGGCUGAGGAUGGGCCCGCGGCCUAUCAGCUUGUUGGUGGGGUGAGGCCUACCAAGGCGACGACGGGUAGCCGGCCUGAGAGGGCGACCGGCCACACUGGGACUGAGACACGGCCCAGACUCCUACGGGAGGCAGCAGUCCGGGGAAUCUUGCGCAAUGGGCGAAAGCCUGACGCAGCGACGCCGCGUGA
This 377-nucleotide ribosomal RNA is filed under the name uncultured bacterium. RNAcentral's name for it is "bacterial SSU rRNA". It matches the Rfam family "Bacterial small subunit ribosomal RNA", at positions 28 to 404 of the family's 1533-position model. The record is from RNAcentral.